Molecule: non-coding RNA, 180 nt
Organism: Zea mays
Lineage: Eukaryota; Viridiplantae; Streptophyta; Magnoliopsida; Poales; Poaceae
Source: Rfam
GUUCCAAUGAUGAUUUCAAGACCUAGCAAUAUGAAGUGUCAUUUGUCACUGUAAACAACAACUGCUUCUUUCUGCUUCAUGUGUCUAUCUCUCGAUCAUAACCAAUUUGGUCUAGGAUGCAGCCCCAUCAGUAAUUGUUGGAUUCAGUUGUGGUGUGAUUUAAAUCGUAUCUAUGAGAAU